AGGAGCAGUGACCUCACAGGAGACUGAAUCUGACCUACCUGCUAGUGUGGGAGGGUCUUCUAUGGAGCCUGUGGACCCCAGAGUUUCGUUGUCUCAGGCCGAACAACUAACAGGGAUGGAGCAAAAGCCCACCCAUCAGCAGAUAAUUGUAUUAAAGUUUUACUGAGCAACACCCUGCCCACCAGAGCAAGACCCAGUUUUUCCCACUGCCAGUCAUUCCCAUCAGGAAGCUUACACAAGCUUCUUAGCCGCAUCCACCAGAGGGCAGACAGAAGAAGUAGGAAGAACCACAAUCCCACAGAAUGGAAACAACAUCACAGACAGUCAACCAGAAUGAAAAAGCAGAGGGUUAUGUUCUAGAUGAAAGGAUAAGAUAAAACCCCAGAAAAACAACUAAAUGAAGUGGAGAUAGACAACCUUCCAGAAAAAUAAUUCAGAAUAUGAUAGUGAAGAUGAGACAGAUCUUGGAAGAAGAAUGGAGAAGAUUUGAGAAAUGUUUUCUAAAGACUUUGAAGAGCUAAAGAACAAACAAACAGAGAUGAACAAUACACUACAAGGAAUCAACAGCAGAAUAAUUGAGGCAGAAGAACAGAUAAGUGACCUGGAAGACAGAAUGGUGGAAAUCACUGCUGCAGAACAGAAUACAGAAAAAAGGAUGAAAAGAAAUGAAGACAACCUAUGAGACCUCUGGGACAACAUUAAAUGCACCAACAUUCAUAGUAUAGGGUUCCCAGAAGGAUAAGAGAGAGAGAGAAAGGACCUGAGAAAGUAUUUGAAGAGAGAAUAGCUGAAGGUUUCCCUAACAUGAAAAUAAAUAGUCAACCAGGUCCAGUAGAUGCAGGACCUUAGUAGGUUUAUGCCAGGAGGGAUAUCCCUUAGUGGGUUUAUCCUAGGCAGGAUAAACCCAAGGAGGAAUACAUAGUAAUCAAACUGACAAAAAUUAAAAACAAAGACAAAAUAUUAAAAGCAACAAGGGAAAAGUGACAAAUUACAUACAAGGGAACACCCAUAGGUUAUCAGCUGAUUUCUUAAUAGAAACUCUACAAGCCAGAAGAGAAUGGCAUGAUAUAUUUAAAGUGAUAAAAGGGAAGAACCUACAACCAAGAAUACUCUGCUGCUGCUGCUAAGUCGCUUCAGUUGUGUCCGACUCUGUGUGACCCCAUAGACGGCAGCCCACCAGGCUCCUCCAUCCCUGGGAUUCUCCAGGCACCCAGCAAGAAAUCAAAAACUUUCCAGACAGACAAAAGUUAAGGGAAUUCAGCACCACCAAACCAACUUUCCAACAAAUGCUAAAAGAACUUCACUAGGUACAAAACACAAGAGA
This is a long non-coding RNA of Bos taurus (domestic cattle), 1324 nucleotides long. Lineage: Eukaryota; Metazoa; Chordata; Mammalia; Artiodactyla; Bovidae. The record is from Ensembl.